Molecule: long non-coding RNA, 609 nt
Organism: Medicago truncatula (barrel medic)
Lineage: Eukaryota; Viridiplantae; Streptophyta; Magnoliopsida; Fabales; Fabaceae
Exons: 2
Source: RefSeq, a predicted model, not a curated record
ACUUGAAGUAUGCUAUGUAUUGCGAGAGCAAAAUAUAACAGAGUUCUAAGAUAAAAUCUAAACAAAAAAAAUGGCAAAACACAUUUUCCAAUAUUUUCUCUUGGGAGUUUUGUGCAUUGUGUUUCUCCUAUCUUCAGGAUCAACCCAAGAUGUGAAUUACUGCUCUAAACCUUGCCCUAAUACUUGGGAAUGCGACGCAAAAUGCCGUAGUCAGGGUCAGGGAGGAAGCUGUAUGGGAAACUUUUGUUGCUGUCAGUAAUAAUUGAAGUAAAUUACAAUAUUAUGAAUAUUUAUAAGUAUGUUUUCCUAUGGAGAGAAUAAAUAACUCAUUAAAAAAGAAGAAUAAUAAACUAAAUAAGAAACAUCUUUUUGCAAAGCUUUUAUUUUCAUGUUUGAACCAUAUAUAUCAGUCAUACAUAUUGUGAUGUCUAAUCUCAGCAGAAGAAAAAGAAAACAGUGCACAAACUCAAUGUGAAAUAAAGAAAGCAAGAAUUAGAAAGAAGAUGGAUCUGUUCAACUUAAAAUUAACAGGAUAUUUCUUGUUUUUUUUUUUAAGAACGGAUAUUUCUUGUUUUGAUACUGCUAAUAUACCCAUUUUCAUUAAAUAAA